AUAGUAAUGAAGCAGUUUUGGUGUAUAGAUCAUGCCCUGCAGUCUCACUACUCAAUUCUCUGCCAUUUAGGAGUUACAUCCCUUUGUUUAUGCAGCUAUAGUCACACCUCCUCUGGCUAGGAGUCACACAGCCAUCCUACACACUUACAAUUCCUUCUCUCCUGCUCUGUUAAUGGUUUUCUAGAUCCUGCAGGAGCCUCCUGUGUGUGAUUAAAUUUCAAGUAACUGAGCAAUAGCUGUGAACUUCUAAAGUAAACACACAGUGCUGUAAAAAUAAGACCUUCUUUUCAUGGAGGCUGUGUGAGUCAUAAGAUUGAUACUGCUGUUUAGAAUGUAUGUUAGGAAGUACUUUGAAGCCUGACUGCGUAUAAAGGAAGUUGGGAAGCGCUCUGCCUACGUGUGUUGCGAUGGCGUUUAAUAUCGAGCCUUUCCUUUCAGAUACUGGAGAGCUCCCAAACUCUGCUGAAUGUAUUGAAGAGAGAAGCUGGAAAUCUGGGGAAAGCCACGGAAGUGAGAGGCAGUGUAAAUACCACACAGCCCUGAGACUGCCACUAGGCUAUCAUCAUGUACCAUAGCAAUUGCUGUACUCAACGUUUUUAUUUUUCAUAUAUAUGUUUUAUUACCCUGUGCAGAAAGUUUAAUAAAGAUUAUAUUUCUGUGAAAUGGCAGAUGUUUUUAGUGUGAUUUACUAAACCAGGGUUUGAUAAAUUUGUAAUGACAAGGGUAGCUGAUCUUAAAGGGACACUACAGUCACCAGAACCGCUUAAUGUAGUUGUUCUGGUGUCUUUAGUCAGUCCCUGAAGGCUUUUUGCAGUAAACACUGUCUUUUCAGAGAGAAUGCAGUGUUUACAUUGCUCCCCUUGGGAUGCCUCCAAUGACAGUCACAAGAGACACUAGACGUGCUUCCUGGGUCAGUGCCGUACAAUGUGCGGCACCUACGUUUAGU
Pelobates cultripes (western spadefoot toad) is the source of this 946-nucleotide non-coding RNA. NCBI's taxonomy places the organism in Eukaryota, Metazoa, Chordata, Amphibia, Anura, Pelobatidae. The record is from the annotation of a GenBank genome assembly.